Molecule: ribosomal RNA, 458 nt
Filed under: uncultured bacterium
Lineage: Bacteria
Description: partial 16S ribosomal RNA
Rfam family: Bacterial small subunit ribosomal RNA
Source: RNAcentral
GGUGAACGCUGGCGGCGUGCUUAAGACAUGCAAGUCGAACGGGCUCUUCGGAGCCAGUGGCGCACGGGUGAGUAACGCGUAACUGACCUACCCCAAAGUCGCGGAUAACGAUUCGAAAGAAUCGCUAAUACGUGAUGUGCUGUCAGAUCCUGUUCUGCCAGUAAAGAUUUAUUGCUUUGGGAUGGGGUUGCGUUCCAUCAGCUAGUUGGUGGGGUAAAGGCCCACUAAGGCGACGACGGAUCGCCGGCCUGAGAGGGUGGCCGGCCACAGGGGCACUGAGACACGGGUCCCACUCCUACGGGAGGCAGCAGUUAGGAAUCUUCCACAAUGGGCGAAAGCCUGAUGGAGCGACGCAGCGUGAGGGAUGAAGGUCUUCGGAUCGUAAACCUCUGAAUCAGGGACGAAAGACGCGAAAGCGGGAUGACGGUACCUGAGUAAUAGCACCGGCUAACUCCGUG